AAAAAACUAUAAGUUGCAAUUAUAAUGUUGAACCAAAAAUGCUUCCAGAUAUGAUUUUUGAUAUUGAAUCUGAUGGACUCAAUAUAUUGAGAAAAUAGAGUUGGCGAUGUAUUAGCAUUCCAGUUAUUUUACUAUUAUUUAAAAAUGGGAGUUGGGGUGUACGGACAGGGGUAAUUUUAUAAUUAUGAAUGUUCGGCAUGGGCAUUUUGGAACUACUCUGUGGGCCUUUUUCUCUCUCCCUCCUCGACCCCCUUACUUCUUAUCCGUCGAUCAGCAACACCCACAUGCGAGAACGCCGGUGACCAAACGCAGGUUGUUAGUCAUGGCAUUUGGCGAUGAGCGUGAGGCGUAUGAGUGAGCAGCCAGAGCAGCCCUGGAUGGUGUUUGUAAAGGCCAGUGGGAGUUUAAAGAAGCAUGUCAGUGUCGGUGACCUCGGGUGUGCACCGAGACGAAUUUCCAGGUUCUACUCGCGGGAUUUGGUAUUGUCCGCUUGAUGAAAUCUUUUAAUUCACAACCACUCCAGCCUUUCUUUGGUGGAGACGAGACACUUCAUGGACCAGUGGUGAUUGGUGUGAGUUGGAGUUAAUUGAUUAGCACCAAAUUAAUAAAGAGUCGCAGGUAUAUAAGUUUUCUUCUAAUUUUUUAUGCAGCUACCAAUAAGUAAACGCUCUAUUUCAUGUCAUUGACCAUCUUUUAUUUGGAAACUGGGACUUACUUUCCCAAUUGAUAUGUGCUUCAUUUCCGGACUUACCCCAAAUGUCGCUAUAGAUGAAACUGGAAUUCUGAGAAAUGAUGGUGCUAGGCAUAAAGUUUAAUUGGUUAGUUUUUGCUAGAUAUCUAUAUUAAUUCCUUA
This is a long non-coding RNA of Nicotiana tabacum (common tobacco), 853 nucleotides long. RefSeq lists it as uncharacterized. The record is from RefSeq and is a predicted model, not a curated record. Lineage: Eukaryota; Viridiplantae; Streptophyta; Magnoliopsida; Solanales; Solanaceae.